RNAcentral lists this ribosomal RNA (377 nucleotides) under uncultured bacterium. RNAcentral's name for it is "bacterial SSU rRNA". It matches the Rfam family "Bacterial small subunit ribosomal RNA", at positions 521 to 896 of the family's 1533-position model. The record is from RNAcentral.
UAAUACAGAGGGUGCGAACGUUGCUCGGAAUUACUGGGCGUAAAGCGCGUGUAGGCGGUCCGUUAAGUUGGUAGUGAAAUCCCAUGGCUCAACCAUGGAAGUGCUGCCAAAACUGGCGGGCUGGAGUGCCGGAGAGGGUGGCGGAAUUCCCAGUGUAGAGGUGAAAUUCGUAGAUAUUGGGAGGAACACCGGUGGCGAAGGCGGCCACCUGGACGGUAACUGACGCUAAGACGCGAAAGCGUGGGGAGCAAACAGGAUUAGAUACCCUGGUAGUCCACGCUGUAAACGAUGAGCACUAGGUGUUGCGGGUAUUGACCCCUGCAGUGCCGACGCUAACGCAUUAAGUGCUCCGCCUGGGGACUACGGCCGCAAGGCUA